UUGCUCUUCAACGAGGAAUGCCUAGUAAGCGUGAGUCAUCAGCUCACGUUGAUUACGUCCCUGCCCUUUGUACACACCGCCCGUCGCUACUACCGAUUGAAUGGCUUAGUGAGAUCUCCGGAUUGGCUUUGGGAAGCUGGCAACGGCUACCUAUUGCUGAGAAGCUGAUCAAACUUGGUCAUUUAGAGGAAGUAAAAGUCGUAACAAGGUUUCCGUAGGUGAACCUGCGGAAGGAUCAUUAAUGAAAAUGUGUUGCCGGGGCCCAUAAUCCCGGCACUAACCUUCUUAUCCAUAACACCUGUGCACUGUUGGAUGCUUGCAUCCACUUUUAUACUAAACAAUUUGUAACAAAUGUAGUCUUAUUAUAAUUAAUAAAACUUUUAACAACGGAUCUCUUGGCUCUCGCAUCGAUGAAGAACGCAGCGAAAUGCGAUAAGUAAUGUGAAUUGCAGAAUUCAGUGAAUCAUCGAAUCUUUGAACGCACCUUGCGCUCCUUGGUAUUCCGAGGAGCAUGCCUGUUUGAGUGUCAUAAACCUCUCAAACCCAAGUUUUGGAUUUAUCCUUGCUUGAGUUUGGAUUUGGGUGUUUGCCAGUGAUGAACUGACUCACCUUAAAAGUAUUAGCUAGAUCUGUCUUUGACUGGUUUGACUUGGCAUAAUAAGUAUUUUGCUAAGGACAUCUUCGGAUGGCCAGGACUUGACUUUUGUCUGCUUACUAAACCUUACUUUAAGUGCAUCUCUGGUGUUACUUAUAGUAUUACUUUGACAUAUGGCCUCAAAUCAGGUAGGACUACCCGCUGAACUUAAGCAUAUCAAUAAGCGGAGGA
RNAcentral lists this ribosomal RNA (826 nucleotides) under uncultured fungus. RNAcentral's name for it is "eukaryotic LSU rRNA". The stretch from base 1 to 241 matches the Rfam family "Eukaryotic small subunit ribosomal RNA", at positions 1593 to 1831 of the family's 1831-position model. Lineage: Eukaryota; Fungi. The record is from RNAcentral.